AUGAUAAAGUGUAGUUCAAAGGUAGAAUACUGGUUUUGGGUUCCAGUGGCUGUAGGUUCGAUUCCUAUCACUCAUA
This is a non-coding RNA of Quaeritorhiza haematococci, 76 nucleotides long. The record is from the annotation of a GenBank genome assembly. NCBI's taxonomy places the organism in Eukaryota, Fungi, Chytridiomycota, Chytridiomycetes, Quaeritorhizaceae.